This 252-nucleotide ribosomal RNA is filed under the name uncultured prokaryote. Its description in RNAcentral is "partial 16S rRNA". It matches the Rfam family "Bacterial small subunit ribosomal RNA", at positions 525 to 775 of the family's 1533-position model. The record is from RNAcentral.
ACGUAGGGUGCGAGCGUUAUCCGGAAUUACUGGGCGUAAAGGGCUCGUAGGUGGUUUGUCGCGUCGUCUGUGAAAUUCAGGGGCUUAACUCCGGGCGUGCAGGCGAUAAGGGGAUAACUUGAGUACUGUAGGGGUAAGUGGAAUUCCUGGUGUAGCGGUGAAAUGCGUAGAUAUCAGGAGGAACACCGAUGGCGAAGGCAGGUUACUGGGCUGUUACUGACGCUGAGGAGCGAAAGCAUGGGUAGCAAACAG